RNAcentral lists this ribosomal RNA (372 nucleotides) under uncultured organism. RNAcentral describes it as "bacterial SSU rRNA". It matches the Rfam family "Bacterial small subunit ribosomal RNA", at positions 526 to 896 of the family's 1533-position model. The record is from RNAcentral.
CAGAGGCCCCAAGCGUUACUGAGAAUCACUGGGUUCAAAGGGUGCGUAGGUGGCGCGUUAAGUCCGUUGUGAAAGCCCUGGGCUCAACCCAGGAACUGCUUCGGAUACUGGCGCGCUUGAGGCGAGUAUGGGUCACUGGAACUGACGGUGGAGCGGUGAAAUGCGUAGAUAUCGUCAGGAACGCCAAUGGUGAAGACAGGUGACUGGGCUCGAUCUGACACUGAGGCACGAAAGCGUGGGGAGCGAACGGGAUUAGAUACCCCCGGUAGUCCACGCCCUAAACGAUGCAGACUAGACUGCAGCGGGUUACACCCCGUUGCGGUCGGAGCGAAAUUGUAAGUCUGCCACCUGGGAAGUACGGUCGCAAGGCUA